Molecule: ribosomal RNA, 497 nt
Filed under: uncultured bacterium
Lineage: Bacteria
Description: partial 16S ribosomal RNA
Rfam family: Bacterial small subunit ribosomal RNA
Source: RNAcentral
GAUGAACGCUGGCGGCGUGCCUAAUACAUGCAAGUCGAGCGAACGGACGAGAAGCUUGCUUCUCUGAUGUUAGCGGCGGACGGGUGAGUAACACGUGUAUAACCUACCUAUAAGACUGGGAUAACUUCGGGAAACCGGCGCUAAUCCCGGAUAAUCUUUUGCACCGCAUGGUUCAAAAGUGAAAGACGGUCUUGCGGUCACUUAUAGAUGGAUCCGCGCUGCAUUAGCUAGUUGUUAAGGUAACGGCUUACCACGGCAACGAUGCCUAGCCGACCGGACAGGGGGGUAGCCGGCCCUGGAAGGGAGACGGCGUCCAGACUCCUACGGGAGGCAGCAGUAGGGAACCUUCCGCAGUGGGCGAAAGUCUGACGGAGCAACGCGGCGUGAGUGAUGACGGUGUUGGGAUCGUAAAACUGUGUUAUUAGGGAAGAACAUAUGUGUACGUAACUGUGCACAUCUUGACGGUACCUAAUCAGAAAGCCACGGCUAACUACGUG